CUCCUCCGGCGGCAGGUCGGUCUGCCGGUUGCCCAGCACGAAGGCGAGGAAGGAGAGGAUGAGUGCGUUGAGGAUGCCGAUGAUGGCCAGGAUGUAGGCCCAGCGCACCGAACAGUCCCCGAGCACGGCUGAGCCUAAGCAGUGUGAAUUCAGAGCUGCUCAGCGUCUACCUGUCACCCGCACAACAGACAUGAACUUGGAGUGAGUCGUGCAGAGGAACCAGGAAGCAGAAAGGGAAGAAAUCUUCCUGGCCUUAUUGGCUCAGUGCUCUGCACUGAGAAGAGUUUCAACAACUCGGAUAAGGGUUUGCGGGAGUCAGGGUCAUCUGAUGGGCAUCGAAGGGCUAUCAAAACUGAUCCAACUGCCUCUAUCCCUCCACAGUACAGACAAGAAAACAGACCUCAGGGACACUGCCUGGCAAGUCACAGGCAGAGCUGGACGAAAUGCCCAAGCCAUGACUCAUCGUCCAGUGCUCUAAGUGUGUGUCAAGCAAAGUAAGCCAGUCACUUUCCCAGGGAACCCACAAAUCCAUGGGCAAAGAGGAAUCAAUGGCUCAACUACUGCCCUCAGGGAUGCGGCAGUAACACCAAAGAAAAUGCCCUGGGUUGAGUACUGAGCUUUAGGCAUCCUCCCUUGCUGGUCACUGUGUCACCUUUCUGACAGGGGAGUCGAGUGGAAGACAUUAAGGAACAGACCACUGAGGUGCUUGAAAGUCUACAAGUACAUGGCAGUUGUGGAACAGUUACAUAAAUCCACAGGAUGAAAUCCACAUGGAUUACACAGAAUUUGAAGGCCAAAAGGGACAGUUCCUCAUCUGGCCGCCCACCUUACUGUCUACCCUUCGUCCUGAACGACUUCUCAUCAUUUGCAGAAAUCACAUCCCUCCUUUAAGAGAUGGGGGUCUCUUCUCAAAGACCAUGUGCCAGGAAACACACCCCCUGCUCCAAAGCCAAUUCCCUACAGUGCACAAAGCAGCAGCAUUAUCAGCAA
Molecule: long non-coding RNA, 990 nt
Organism: Ochotona princeps (American pika)
Lineage: Eukaryota; Metazoa; Chordata; Mammalia; Lagomorpha; Ochotonidae
Exons: 4
Source: RefSeq, a predicted model, not a curated record